UUAAGCGACUAAGCGUACACGGUGGAUGCCCUGGCAGUCAGAGGCGAUGAAGGACGUGCUAAUCUGCGAUAAGCGCCGGUAAGGUGAUAUGAACCGUUAUAACCGGCGAUUUCCGAAUGGGGAAACCCAGUGUGACUCGUCACACUAUCAUUAACUGAAUCCAUAGGUUAAUGAGGCGAACCGGGGGAACUGAAACAUCUAAGUACCCCGAGGAAAAGAAAUCAACCGAGAUUCCCCCAGUAGCGGCGAGCGAACGGGGAGGAGCCCAGAGCCUGAAUCAGCAUGUGUGUUAGUGGAAGCGUCUGGAAAGGCGCGCGAUACAGGGUGACAGCCCCGUACACAAAAGCGCAUGUGCUGUGAGCUCGAUGAGUAGGGCGGGACACGUGGUAUCCUGUCUGAAUAUGGGGGGACCAUCCUCCAAGGCUAAAUACUCCUGACUGACCGAUAGUGAACCAGUACCGUGAGGGAAAGGCGAAAAGAACCCCGGCGAGGGGAGUGAAAAAGAACCUGAAACCGUGUACGUACAAGCAGUGGGAGCACAGGUUUACCUGUGUGACUGCGUACCUUUUGUAUAAUGGGUCAGCGACUUAUAUUCUGUAGCAAGGUUAACCGAAUAGGGGAGCCGGAGGGAAACCGAGUCUUAAUUGGGCGUUAAGUUGCAGGGUAUAGACCCGAAACCCGGUGAUCUAGCCAUGGGCAGGUUGAAGGUUGGGUAACACUAACUGGAGGACCGAACCGACUAAUGUUGAAAAAUUAGCGGAUGACCUGUGGCUGGGGGUGAAAGGCCAAUCAAACCGGGAGAUAGCUGGUUCUCCCCGAAAGCUAUUUAGGUAGCGCCUCGUGAAUUCAUCUCCGGGGGUAGAGCACUGUUUCGGCUAGGGGGCCAUCCCGGCUUACCAACCCGAUGCAAACUGCGAAUACCGGAGAAUGUUAUCACGGGAGACACACGGCGGGUGCUAACGUCCGUCGUGAAGAGGGAAACAACCCAGACCGCCAGCUAAGGUCCCAAAGUCAUGGUUAAGUGGGAAACGAUGUGGGAAGGCCCAGACAGCCAGGAUGUUGGCUUAGAAGCAGCCAUCAUUUAAAGAAAGCGUAAUAGCUCACUGGUCGAGUCGGCCUGCGCGGAAGAUGUAACGGGGCUAAACCAUGCACCGAAGCUGCGGCAGCGANNUGCUGGAGGUAUCAGAAGUGCGAAUGCUGACAUAAGUAACGAUAAAGCGGGUGAAAAGCCCGCUCGCCGGAAGACCAAGGGUUCCUGUCCAACGUUAAUCGGGGCAGGGUGAGUCGACCCCUAAGGCGAGGCCGAAAGGCGUAGUCGAUGGGAAACGGGUUAAUAUUCCCGUACUUGGUGUUACUGCGAAGGGGGGACGGAGAAGGCUAUGUUGGCCGGGCGACGGUUGUCCCGGUUUAAGCGUGUAGGUGUGUGUUCCAGGUAAAUCCGGUUCACUUUAACACUGAGGCGUGACGACGAGGCACUACGGUGCUGAAGCAACAAAUGCCCUGCUUCCAGGAAAAGCCUCUAAGCAUCAGGUAACAUCAAAUCGUACCCCAAACCGACACAGGUGGUCAGGUAGAGAAUACCAAGGCGCUUGAGAGAACUCGGGUGAAGGAACUAGGCAAAAUGGUGCCGUAACUUCGGGAGAAGGCACGCUGACAUGUAGGUGAAGUGAUUUACUCAUGGAGCUGAAGUCAGUCGAAGAUACCAGCUGGCUGCAACUGUUUAUUAAAAACACAGCACUGUGCAAACACGAAAGUGGACGUAUACGGUGUGACGCCUGCCCGGUGCCGGAAGGUUAAUUGAUGGGGUCAGCGCAAGCGAAGCUCCUGAUCGAAGCCCCGGUAAACGGCGGCCGUAACUAUAACGGUCCUAAGGUAGCGAAAUUCCUUGUCGGGUAAGUUCCGACCUGCACGAAUGGCGUAAUGAUGGCCAGGCUGUCUCCACCCGAGACUCAGUGAAAUUGAACUCGCUGUGAAGAUGCAGUGUACCCGCGGCAAGACGGAAAGACCCCGUGAACCUUUACUAUAGCUUGACACUGAACAUUGAGCCUUGAUGUGUAGGAUAGGUGGGAGGCUUUGAAGCGUGGACGCCAGUCUGCGUGGAGCCGACCUUGAAAUACCACCCUUUAAUGUUUGAUGUUCUAACGUGGACCCGUAAUCCGGGUUGCGGACAGUGUCUGGUGGGUAGUUUGACUGGGGCGGUCUCCUCCUAAAGAGUAACGGAGGAGCACGAAGGUUGGCUAAUCCUGGUCGGACAUCAGGAGGUUAGUGCAAUGGCAUAAGCCAGCUUGACUGCGAGCGUGACGGCGCGAGCAGGUGCGAAAGCAGGUCAUAGUGAUCCGGUGGUUCUGAAUGGAAGGGCCAUCGCUCAACGGAUAAAAGGUACUCCGGGGAUAACAGGCUGAUACCGCCCAAGAGUUCAUAUCGACGGCGGUGUUUGGCACCUCGAUGUCGGCUCAUCACAUCCUGGGGCUGAAGUAGGUCCCAAGGGUAUGGCUGUUCGCCAUUUAAAGUGGUACGCGAGCUGGGUUUAGAACGUCGUGAGACAGUUCGGUCCCUAUCUGCCGUGGGCGCUGGAGAACUGAGGGGGGCUGCUCCUAGUACGAGAGGACCGGAGUGGACGCAUCACUGGUGUUCGGGUUGUCAUGCCAAUGGCACUGCCCGGUAGCUAAAUGCGGAAGAGAUAAGUGCUGAAAGCAUCUAAGCACGAAACUUGCCCCGAGAUGAGUUCUCCCUGAGACUUAAAGUCUCCUGAAGGAACGUUGAAGACGACGACGUUGAUAGGCCGGGUGUGUAAGCGCAGCGAUGCGUUGAGCUAACCGGUACUAAUGAACCGUGAGGCUUAACCUU
RNAcentral lists this ribosomal RNA (2847 nucleotides) under Salmonella enterica subsp. enterica serovar Infantis. RNAcentral describes it as "bacterial LSU rRNA". It matches the Rfam family "Bacterial large subunit ribosomal RNA". The record is from RNAcentral. Lineage: Bacteria; Pseudomonadati; Pseudomonadota; Gammaproteobacteria; Enterobacterales; Enterobacteriaceae.